Molecule: transfer RNA, 113 nt
Filed under: Araneus ventricosus
Lineage: Eukaryota; Metazoa; Arthropoda; Arachnida; Araneae; Araneidae
Description: tRNA-Leu
Source: RNAcentral
UGUCAGAAGUGGAUUGAACCCACGCCCACAUUGUGGACCAGAACUCUCAACACUCUGCGACAGAGCAAGGGAACCCUUGAGUCUGGCGCCUUAGACCGCUCGGCCAUCCUGAC